UACGUAGGGUGCGAGCGUUGUCCGGAAUUAUUGGGCGUAAAGAGCUUGUAGGUGGCUCGUUGCGUCGGGGGUGAAAACCUGCGGCUUAACCGCAGGCCUGCUUCCGAUACGGGCGAGCUAGAGUUCGGCAGGGGAGACUGGAAUUCCUGGUGUAGCGGUGGAAUGCGCAGAUAUCAGGAGGAACACCGGUGGCGAAGGCGGGUCUCUGGGCCGAUACUGACACUGAGAAGCGAAAGCGUGGGGAGCGAACAGG
This 253-nucleotide ribosomal RNA is filed under the name uncultured bacterium. RNAcentral's name for it is "partial 16S ribosomal RNA". It matches the Rfam family "Bacterial small subunit ribosomal RNA", at positions 524 to 776 of the family's 1533-position model. The record is from RNAcentral.